GACGAACGCUGGCGGCGUGCCUAAUACAUGCAAGUCGAACGCAUUUUCUUUCACCGUAGCUUGCUACACCGAAAGAAAAUGAGUGGCGAACGGGUGAGUAACACGUGGGUAACCUGCCCAUCAGCGGGGGAUAACACUUGGAAACAGGUGCUAAUACCGCAUAAUUCCAUUUACCGCAUGGUAGAUGGAUGAAAGGCGCUUUUGCGUCACUGAUGGAUGGACCCGCGGUGCAUUAGCUAGUUGGUGGGGUAACGGCCUACCAAGGCUGCGAUGCAUAGCCGACCUGAGAGGGCGAUCGGCCACACUGGGACUGAGACACGGCCCAGACUCCUACGGGAGGCAGCAGUAGGGAAUCUUCGGCAAUGGACACAAGUCUGACCGAGCAACGCCGCGUGAGUGAAGAAGGUUUUCGGAUCGUAAAACUCUGUUGUUAGAGAAGAACAAGGAUGAGAGUGGAAAGUUCAUCCCUUGACGGUAUCUAACCAGAAAGCCACGGCUAACUACGU
RNAcentral lists this ribosomal RNA (506 nucleotides) under uncultured bacterium. RNAcentral describes it as "partial 16S ribosomal RNA". It matches the Rfam family "Bacterial small subunit ribosomal RNA", at positions 28 to 506 of the family's 1533-position model. The record is from RNAcentral.